Molecule: long non-coding RNA, 781 nt
Organism: Oncorhynchus tshawytscha (Chinook salmon)
Lineage: Eukaryota; Metazoa; Chordata; Actinopteri; Salmoniformes; Salmonidae
Source: Ensembl
GCUGGUUAUGGGUGGUGAGUGGGUGGUGAGGGGUGGUGAGAGGGUGGUGAGUGGCUGGUGAGUGGGUUGUGAGUGGGUGGUGGGUGGCUGGUGAUGGGUGGUGAGUGGGUGGUGAAGGCUGGUGAGUGGGUGGUGAAUGGCUGAUGAUGGGUGGUGAGUGGGUGGUGAAGGCUGGUUAGUGGGUGGUCAAUGGCUGGUGAUGGGUGGUGAGUGGGUGGUGAUGGGUGGUGAGAGGGUGGUGAGUGGCUGGUGAGUGGGUGGUGAGUGGGUGGUGAUGGGUGGUGAGAGGGUGGUGAGUGGCUGGUGAGUGGGUGGUGAGUGGCUGGUGAUGGGUGGUGAGUGGGUGGUAGGAGGGUGAUGAGUGGGUGGUGAAAGGGUGGUGAGUGGGUGGUGAGAGGGUGGUGAUGGGUGGUGGUAGGUGGUGAGUGGGUGAUGAGUGGAGGGUGGUGAGUGGGUGGUGAGUUGCUGGUGAGUGGGUGGUCAACGGCUGGUUAUGGGUGGUGAGUGGGUGUUGAGGGGUGGUGAGAGGGUGGUGAGUGGCUGGUGAGUGGGUUGUGAGUGGGUGGUGGGUGGCUGGUGAUGGGUGGUGAGUGGGUGGUGAAGGCUGUGAGUGGGUGGUGAGUGGGUGGUGAUGGGUGGUGAGAGGGUGGUGAGUGGCUGGUGAGUGGGUGGUGAGUGGCUGGUGAUGGGUGGUGAGUGGGUGGUGGGGUGAUGAGUGGGUGGUGAAAGGGUGGUGGUGGGUGGUGAGAGGGUGGUGAGUGGGGUGAGUGGGGGUGAAUAG